GAUGGUGCUUGCACCUGAUUGAUUUUGGUCGCCAACGAGUGGCGGACGGGUGAGUAACACGUAGGUAACCUGCCCAGAAGCGGGGGACAACAUUUGGAAACAGAUGCUAAUACCGCAUAACAACGUUGUUCGCAUGAACAACGCUUAAAAGAUGGCUUCUCGCUAUCACUUCUGGAUGGACCUGCGGUGCAUUAGCUUGUUGGUGGGGUAACGGCCUACCAAGGCGAUGAUGCAUAGCCGAGUUGAGAGACUGAUCGGCCACAAUGGGACUGAGACACGGCCCAUACUCCUACGGGAGGCAGCAGUAGGGAAUCUUCCACAAUGGGCGCAAGCCUGAUGGAGCAACACCGCGUGAGUGAAGAAGGGUUUCGGCUCGUAAAGCUCUGUUGUUAAAGAAGAACACGUAUGAGAGUAACUGUUCAUACGUUGACGGUAUUUAACCAGAAAGUCACGGCUAACUACGUGCCAGCAGCCGCGGUAAUACGUAGGUGGCAAGCGUUAUCCGGAUUUAUUGGGCGUAAAGAGAGUGCAGGCGGUUUUCUAAGUCUGAUGUGAAAGCCUUCGGCUUAACCGGAGAAGUGCAUCGGAAACUGGAUAACUUGAGUGCAGAAGAGGGUAGUGGAACUCCAUGUGUAGCGGUGGAAUGCGUAGAUAUAUGGAAGAACACCAGUGGCGAAGGCGGCUACCUGGUCUGCAACUGACGCUGAGACUCGAAAGCAUGGGUAGCGAACAGGAUUAGAUACCCUGGUAGUCCAUGCCGUAAACGAUGAGUGCUAGGUGUUGGGAGGGUUUCCGCCCUUCAGUGCCGGAGCUAACGCAUUAAGCACUCCGCCUGGGGAGUACGACCGCAAGGUUGAAACUCAAAGGAAUUGACGGGGGCCCGCACAAGCGGUGGAGCAUGUGGUUUAAUUCGAAGCUACGCGAAGAACCUUACCAGGUCUUGACAUCUUGCGCCAACCCUAGAGAUAGGGCGUUUCCUUCGGGAACGCAAUGACAGGUGGUGCAUGGUC
Molecule: ribosomal RNA, 1010 nt
Filed under: Limosilactobacillus fermentum
Lineage: Bacteria; Bacillati; Bacillota; Bacilli; Lactobacillales; Lactobacillaceae
Description: bacterial SSU rRNA
Rfam family: Bacterial small subunit ribosomal RNA
Source: RNAcentral